CAGUCGUACCUAUGGGUAAUCAGCCUUUUGGGUGUGAUUUUGUGGAGCGUGAGGAGUUAAACGCCUUCAUGCCUGCAUAUUCGUGCACUUUGGGUGUACUUGCCCGUAUGGUUGGUUAACAUCAAUUUUGGUGGUCAUAAAAUGACUGGAGGAAUGUAGCUUCGAUCUCGUAUUGAAGUGUUAUAGCCUUCGGUAGAUGUGAUGAUCGAGAUUGAGGAUUGCAACGGAUACCUUUCGGGGCUACCUGUCUGGUCUCUGAUCGUUGCUCUGGUGCCGAAAGCUUGCUUACGGUUAUCAAAGUCGAUGGUCAAUAGGUUAGAACGGGUUAAA
Molecule: ribosomal RNA, 330 nt
Filed under: uncultured Glomeromycotina
Lineage: Eukaryota; Fungi; Glomeromycota
Description: eukaryotic LSU rRNA
Source: RNAcentral